AUGCUGCCAGCCAUGAGGGUUCUGGAUUCCUGACGGUUGCUCCAUUCCUAGGCCUAACUGAAAGGCAUUAUCAGUUAUACCUGAUGCAUGACCCCGCCCCAGCGUGGGCUCUCGCUGUGUUGGAGCCAGGCAGCCAGCUGAGCCCAUGCACACCGUCAAGGCUCUUCCCCGAGGGUGCACCCUCAGGCGCUCCCAGGAGCUUAACCGCAUGUAGUACCUGCUUGUGGCUUCUAUCUGUGUCUCUCAAGGCUUAGGACAACUCCAUGGGAUCGGUGUUGCCGAUGCCAACGGUGGGAACUAGCAAAGCAAUGAAAGUAAAGUGAAGAAUGGGAUCAGGAAAGCAAGGAGUCUUCACAAGUGACGUGGAGAAGGCUGCCAAUGCUUCCUUUCCUCGCUGGCAAGGAACUCAAGAGGCAACAGUCUGUACCCUAAUCUUAGGCCUGCCAUCCCUACUCUUGGCCAGCUGUACCAGGCUACCAGGAGAAGAUGACUCUUAUUCAGCCCUAGGAUUCCUGACUUCAUGCCAUUGCUCUGGGGAGGAGAAAAGUCUAAAGGUACAUUGUGAUAUUAUAGGGAAGCAAAACUUUAUCUUUCUUCCUUUCUAGGUUAUUUGACUGAUCUGAUGAUUAAAAUGACAUAAGACAGAGUAAGAAAAAUAAAUUUAAUUCAUGUGUACA
This 677-nucleotide long non-coding RNA is filed under the name Vulpes vulpes (red fox). RNAcentral describes it as "lncRNA (ENSVVUG00000026924.1)". Lineage: Eukaryota; Metazoa; Chordata; Mammalia; Carnivora; Canidae. The record is from RNAcentral.